This is a long non-coding RNA of Papaver somniferum (opium poppy), 489 nucleotides long. RefSeq lists it as uncharacterized. NCBI's taxonomy places the organism in Eukaryota, Viridiplantae, Streptophyta, Magnoliopsida, Ranunculales, Papaveraceae. The record is from RefSeq and is a predicted model, not a curated record. The transcript has 3 exons.
UUUUCUUUUUCUCUUCUUCCUUCUUCUUCUCGUCUUUUCUCUUCUGUUCUUCUUUCUUUCUCUCCAUCGAGCCUGGUUCGUAGAAUUUGAGUUUGUUUUCGUGUGGGUGAUCCUUAGAAAGAGUAGUAACUGGUGGAAUCGAGGAGGAAGGUGAUGACGCUGAAGUUGUUUAGUCACAGGAAGAAACAAGAAAGGUUACUCUUUAUCUAUAACGAACGAUUCAAAGGAUGAACCAGUGGAUUGAGAAAUACAAGGUAGGCGUGGCUUAUCAUCAAAUCAGUUUUCAGUUACCAGGAGAAAUGGAGCGCUCGAAGAUAUCCGUUCCUAGCUUAGAGUUUUAUCGAAAUUUAGUGUUGUUGUGUAUCUUUUAUUAUAAAUUUGCAUUAUUUCUUUAUUCUGUAAACAACACAUUAAUAUAUUCUUAACACUCGAAAUCCUUUUAUUUAUAUGAUAUCAGAGAAUGAUACCAGAGAGUUUGGGUUUUUGUUA